Molecule: non-coding RNA, 152 nt
Filed under: Clostridium sp.
Lineage: Bacteria; Bacillati; Bacillota; Clostridia; Eubacteriales; Clostridiaceae
Description: GlcN6P sequence
Rfam family: glmS glucosamine-6-phosphate activated ribozyme aptamer
About the family: This entry contains a glucosamine-6-phosphate activated ribozyme that is found in the mRNA for GlmS.
Source: RNAcentral
UAAAAUAAUACAGCGCCAGGACAAUGUAUAUUGUUGACGAGGAUUAGAACUUAUCGAAGGAUUCGGCGGAUGGUUCUAUGGCAUAUGGUUGUCAUUAAAUAUUACACAAAGACUAAUAGCAAUAUUAGAACAAAGGUAAUAUAAACCUUAAU